GAAACUGCAGUCCAGGAGCUGUCGCCUACCGCAACCAGCCUAUCCGAAGGUAGUUGCUAAUGGUCAGCAUGGCUACUAGAUUCCGUAGGAGUCAUUUCUUGAAGCCAAGAACAUAAUGCCUUCAAUACUCUGCUAAGAGCCUAGGAGCUUCUUCACAUCCGCUUAAUUUAUUGCAAUAGUGACCUUUUGGGGUUGGGACCUCAUCAUCCCAUUAGGAUCACUGUAAGUGCGUACAUAAGGGAAGAAGUGCAACUCCCAUUUAGGAGUUGUGAUUGGAUUUGACUGUUUGAGUACACAUGGAAGUUCAAAAACCUUCGAAUGAUGCAAUGAAGCACCUUCCUUUA
Molecule: non-coding RNA, 344 nt
Organism: Prunus avium (sweet cherry)
Lineage: Eukaryota; Viridiplantae; Streptophyta; Magnoliopsida; Rosales; Rosaceae
Source: RefSeq, a predicted model, not a curated record